CGUUGGGCGGGGGCGGCGGUCCGAGCGGCUGCUGCAGCGGAAGCGGGUCCGGGUCGCGCAGGGCGGGGGCGGCGCAGCGGGCGGAGGCGGCCGUGGGCCGCCUGGGCAGAAUGUCACGAUGGACGAGGGCGGCACGCCCCUGCUCCCCGACAGCCUGGUCUACCAGAUCUUCCUGAGCCUGGGCCCGGCCGACGUGCUGGCCGCCGGGCUGGUGUGCCGCCAAUGGCAGGCCGUGUCGCGGGACGAGUUCCUGUGGAGGGAGCAGUUCUACCGCUACUACCAGGUGGCCCGCGACGUGCCCCGACACCCAGCGGCCAUGUCCUGGUACGAGGAGUUCCAGCGGCUGUAUGACACGGUGCCCUGCGUGGAGGUGCAGACGCUGCGGGAACACACAGACCAGGUCCUGCACCUCAGCUUCUCCCAUUCCGGGUACCAGUUCGCGUCCUGCUCCAAGGACUGCACUGUGAAGAUCUGGAGCAACGACCUGACCAUCUCGCUGCUGCACAGCGCAGACAUGCGGCCCUACAACUGGAGCUACACCCAGUUCUCCCAGUUCAACAAGGACGACUCGCUACUGCUGGCCUCGGGGGUGUUCCUGGGGCCGCACAACUCCUCAUCCGGCGAGAUCGCUGUCAUCAGCCUAGGUGAGCACGGGCGGCGGGUUGACCCUGCCCCCGCCCCACACCGACAGCCUGUCCAGCCCCGGCCUCCCCACAGACUCCUUCGCGCUGCUGUCCCGCGUGCGGAACAAGCCCUACGACGUGUUCGGCUGUUGGCUCACCGAGACCAGCCUCAUCUCGGGGAACCUGCACCGCAUCGGAGAUAUCACCUCCUGCUCGGUGCUGUGGCUCAACAAUGCCUUCCAGGUGCGUGCGGGGCUAGGGGCGGGGCUGCCCUCCCCGGGGCCUGGCGCCCACCUGGCACGUGCCCCCGCCCCCAGGACGUGGAGUCAGAGAACGUCAACGUGGUGAAGCGGCUGUUCAAGAUCCAGAACCUCAAUGCCAGCACCGUCCGCACGGUGAUGGUGGCCGACUGCAGCCGCUUCGACAGCCCUGACCUGCUGCUGGAAGCCGGCGACCCGGCCACGUCCCCCUGCCGCAUCUUUGACCUAGGCAGCGACAACGAGGAGGUGGUGGCUGGCCCGGCCCCCGCCCACGCCAAGGAGGGCUUGCGGCACUUUCUGGACCGCGUGCUGGAGGGGCGGGCGCAGCCACAGCUGUCGGAGCGCGUGCUAGAGACCAAGGUGGCCGAGCUGCUGGCCCAGGGGCACACCAAGCCACCCGAGCGCAGUGCCACAGGCGCCAGGAGCAAGUACCUCAUCUUCACCACUGGCUGCCUCACCUACUCCCCACACCAGAUCGGCAUCAAGCAGAUCCUGCCACACCAGAUGACCACGGCAGGGCCCGUGCUGGGUGAGGGCCGGGGCUCCGACGCCUUCUUCGACGCGCUGGACCACGUCAUAGACAUACACGGACACAUCAUCGGCAUGGGCCUGUCGCCCGACAACAGGUGGGCCUCUUGCCAGUGUCCCAGGCGGGGUGCCCGCAGGCGGCCCACACCUAGCACAGUGCCCCUCGCCCAGGUACCUGUACGUGAACAGCCGCGCCUGGCCCAACGGUGCGGUGGUGGCCGACCCCAUGCAGCCACCACCGAUCGCGGAGGAGAUUGACCUGCUGGUGUUCGACCUCAAGACCAUGCGGGAGGUGAGGCGGGCUCUGCGUGCGCACCGCGCCUACACGCCCAACGACGAGUGCUUCUUCAUCUUCCUGGACGUCAGCAGGGACUUCGUGGCCAGGUGCAGGGCGCGGCGUGGUGCAGGGUGGGCGUGGGCGGCAGCGGGCGGGCGGCCAGCUCACCCAGGCGCUGUUCUGCAGCGGGGCAGAGGACCGGCACGGCUACAUCUGGGACCGCCACUACAACAUCUGUCUGGCCAGGCUGCGGCACGAGGAUGUGGUCAACUCAGUGGUCUUCAGUCCCCAGGAGCAGGAGCUGCUGCUCACGGCCAGCGACGACGCCACCAUCAAAGCCUGGCGCUCCCCACGCACCGUGCGUGUCCUCCAGGCACCUCGCCCACGGCCUCGCGCCUUCUUCUCCUGGCUUGCCAGCCAGAGGCGCUGAGGUGUGCUGGGUGCACUGGAGCCACCGGGACCCCUUGAGGACGUUGCCAGGCUCUGUGGCUUUUUCCCGAGCGGGAGAGGUGGAGAUGCUUGUAGCAGUUACGCCUUAGGAAGGGGACAACCAGGCCCCGCCACGCGCUCACACGCAAACCUGCUCACGCAGCUGUGAUGCUUGGCACAGGGUGGCCAGUGCAGAUGGAGCCCAAGGCCCCCUCGGCCUCCUGGCCAGCUUGGGGUACACAGGAUACUGGGGGUGCCGCUCCUCACUCAACCCCAGGCUAGGGGUACACCUGACCCAGCUGGCCUCGGCCCGGGGCACCUUCGGCUGGUCCUGUGGGGCCCUGGACGGUGGCCCAGUGGUGGCAGGGGCUGCUCCUGGCUGUGGUUGUGCGCCCGGGGCUUGGGAGCGGCCGGUCACGCUGCUGUGGGCCCGAGUGUGUUGCAUGUCCACGCACCACCCGUUCAGGGCCCUGAAUAAACAGUUGGCAACAGCA
RNAcentral lists this small RNA (2611 nucleotides) under Pan troglodytes (chimpanzee). Its description in RNAcentral is "retained intron". The record is from RNAcentral. Lineage: Eukaryota; Metazoa; Chordata; Mammalia; Primates; Hominidae.